Molecule: long non-coding RNA, 6941 nt
Filed under: Homo sapiens (human)
Lineage: Eukaryota; Metazoa; Chordata; Mammalia; Primates; Hominidae
Description: HSALNT0075220
Source: RNAcentral
GAGAAACAGCAUGAUUUUAUCUGCUCAUUAUUCCCUUAGCUCUUAUGUUAGCAGACUGGUUUUCAGCUUGUUUGCUCUGAAUCAAGUAAACAUAAUGUCAAUGGAGUAAUUGUGGGAUUCAGAUAAAAGAAGAACAAGUGAAUUGGCAAACACUAAAAUCACUAAAUAAUAUUUGAAGCUAAUGAAAAUGAGGAAUCAGUCUGCAACUGGGAAAUCUAAGAAUAGUAUCAAUUUUUUCUUGCAGACUUUAGCACUAAUUUCUCUCCUCUUCAACUUCAAGAUGUCAUGUAAAAUGUCAUUUGUGCAUGUUUUGCUAAACGAACAAGGCAAUUGGCAUCCCUUACUGUCCUGGUGGAAAGGAACGCAAAAUUCCCCAUCAUAAAUGGAGUAAUCAGGACCCCUGUAGGCCCAACUGCAUCUGGACUCGGAGAGAUUGACUCUGCUGCCUAGAGAAAGACCUGAGACAGAGGGUGAGAAGAAUUCAGAUUAUAACUGCAGCAGGACUCGGAGGCAGAAAUAUGAAGACCUGGCACAGGACACCAACAGUGUCUGCUACAGUCAUUCCUGAAAUAGUCUGAUGUUAAAGUGAAUGUGUUAAAGUGAAUCUCAUUACUUUUGAGAUUGGACAUGUACUUGGAAAAUAGAGAGACAAAGAGUAAUGGAAAAUUUUAUAUCAGAUCUCAUAGAAAACAGAUGACAUACUUUUCUCCUUAUCAAUUAAAGUUCAGCACACAUCUCUCCAAAACAAUGUGUAGUUCCCAAGAGAUUCAAUUUCCAGGUUGAAUGAUAAAUAGAAUUAUUCAUAAGCAAAGAAUGAAAAUGAAUGAAAAAUUGUUAUAUAUGGAUAUAAACAUGUUUCAUCUCUGUCUUUAAUUAGAACUUCUAAUAUCACCACUAUAAAUGAAUAAUACUUCAUGACUAAAUUACCUUUAACAUAUACUUCAGGAGAGCAAUAUCUUUUGGAUGGUAGACUAAAAUAAAUAUAAGUGUGCUUCAAGAGAAAUGCAAGGACUUCUUACAUGUUUUAUGGUGCUACACGUUAAAGGUAAGAUAAAUCAUAUAAUGUUAAAUUUGAAAUAUGUACAGAAAUCAAGUUUGUAUAGUUUCAAGUGAAAUUAAAAUUGUAGUAACUUGUCCUUCUGUUUAAAAUAUUCUAUUUUUUAUGGCCUUAAAAGUCUUUAAAGCACCAAUAAUAUUUCCAAAAUAUUUAUAACACAUUUUAAUAUUUUAUUUGCAUUAAGGUCAGGACAAAACAACGAGUGAUUUUUGUGGGGCAAGUCAUUUAUUAGUAGUUACACUUUUUCUAAAGCAGUAUUAACUAUACCAGUCAUGUAUUUCUUAUUGAAUUCAGUUGUUACUGAUUUUAGGAAUUAAUACUACCUCCAACCAGAAAAUUGCUUAAGCACACCUCCUAAAACAAUCUAACUUGAAGUAACUUAAGAAAAGCAAUUUUAAAUACCAGAGGAAAACUAUUAAGAAGAGAGUUAGUAUUUAGAAAUGUGACAAAAUUUUUAAUAAAAAGACUUGAAAUAAGAUUAAUUUUAUGAAUCUUUCCUAUUAAACCACAAAUGCUUCACACAGAGAUUACAGUGCUAGAAAUAAGAUGACUCAGCUAGUUCUCAAUAUAAAGUUAUAUCUGUACAGGUAUAUAUGAAUAAUUAUAUAUAAUAUAAUUCAUAUAUAAUUUCAAAAUGUAAAUCAAUUUUAUUAAGCUACAAUCUGCAUUCAAUAAAAUGCAACCAUUUUGAAAGCACAGUCUGACAAGUUUUGACAAAUGUAUCCCUGGGACCACUACCAGAGUUAAGACAUAGAACAUCUCAUCACCUCAAAAAAGUUACCCUAUAUACUUAAGCAGUCAGCCCCCUACCACUACGAAAGUCCUGGAUCCAGGAAACCACUGUUAUGUCUUUUGUCAGUGUAGAUUAUUUUUGCAAAUAUCUGCAAUUGCAAAUACUAGGUUGGUGCAAAAGUAACUGUGGUUUUUUAUUAAAAAUAGUGACAAAGACUGCAAUAACUUUUGCACCAACCUAGUAAAUAAAAUUAUAUGUAUUGUAAUCUUUCUUGCCUGGCCUCUUUUGCUCAGCAUAAUGUCUUUGAGAUUUAUCUAUGUUGUUGUAUUUAUUUGUAGUUUGUUUCAGUUUAUUUCAAGCAAGAAUUCCAUAUUACAAAUAUAACCAGUGAUGUGAUAAGUGCUUUAAAACCAGCUUUCUGUUGGCGGGGGAAGUGAGGAUCCUUGAUGUGUAACUUGUCAGUUUAUAUGGUGUAACUCUUCCUACCAAUGACAGAUACAAACUACCAACAUGAUAUAACCAGCUGGCAAAAUUUUUGAAAAUUUAACAAUAGGCUCUGGAGGGUGAUAAUAAGCUAGCUCCAGAACAUCAUUACAUGUAAAUCAAUUUAUCUUUCAGUGGUUUAUCAAUGUUGUUUCCAGUUUUUGGCUAUUGAAAAGAAAGUUGAUAUGAUACCUUGGACCAACAUGUGUUUCUUCCCUUAAGGUAAUACCUUGGAGUGGAACUGCUAGUUCAUAUGGUAAGUCCAUGUUCAACUUUAUAAGAAAACAUUAAGUUAUUUUCCAAAGAAGUUUUACCAGUUUACAAUUGGAUCACACUCAGAUUCAGCAAAUCACAGGUAGCCUCUACAGCUAUAACAGGAGCUCUUUAUGGGAGAGGCAUAGAGAUGAAGUUUUUCAUUGAAGGUAACUGAGAGACACGGAAGGUAAUAACAUGAGAGAGGAAUGAUUACAUUUGGACAUUUGAGCAAUAAAUGUGUUGACAAUGUGGAAAAUAGAUGGGAGGGUAUGAAAUCACUGAAAGAUCAAUUAGGAUGAUAUUUCACUAAAGAAAUAAUGAGGGUCUGAAGUAAGGCAGUAGCAUUCUGAUGAAACUGAAAAAUAUUUAGGUUAUAAAAUUGACUGUAGUUUUGACUAAGUAAGUGCAGAUAACGAAGAACAAUGAGAAAUCAAAGAUAACUAAAGAUUUCUUGCUUGCAAAAUGGGAUAGUCAACGGUAGAAACUGAGACUAUAUGAAGACGGGUGGGCCUUUCUCUCUCCUUCUCUUCAUUUUUGAACAGAAGGGAGGGGAAAAGUGACCAAGAGUUUAGUUUUGGAUACAUAAAGCUUGACUUCCUUGUGAAUCACACCAGCUUCCCUUCUUUCUAACAAUAUGACCUUGAAAAAGUUCCUUUAAUUCAGUUAUUCAUAAGUGAAGGAGAAAAAGAAAGUUGUUGUGAAGAUCAAAUUAGGAUAAUAUAGUCAAUAAAUGUUACCUGGAAUGUAAUCUCCAUGAGGUCAGGAAUCACACCUUAAUGGGUUACAAUUACCUAAGUACUCGAAUAUUCAUAGAAUUAACAAACUCAGGUGGAAAUAUGCAGCUUGAGUAGAUAUGUGGGAAAGGUGCUUAGGAUAAAGGUCUGAAUUUGUUAUAUAGAUUUGGACAUCGUGAUCCUACGAUUUCCCUCUCACCCAGGCAAAGAAAGGAAGAAAGGUAAGAAUAAGGCUCUAGCAUCUCCUCUCUGGAGAUGACAUACACACAUCAUAUGCAUAUGGGCAUGGAGGAAGGGGUGUGGGGAGAGGUGAGUUUAGUGAGUAUACAAGUUAGAAGUCAGGAGUGGAUGGUAUCAGAGGAUUCUCAGAAUGCAGAGAAGAAGAGAGAGUUUGUAAUAGGACACAUGUGGUAGGCCCUUAAAGAAGCCCUAAAUACAGAGUAAAGAUUAGACUGGGAAUUAUUUUCCUUCCUCAUUGAAGAAUGAGUCCAUGUAUGGAAUCUCCCCUUGGAAGCUAUCCCCCUGGAGCUUGUAGGGUACAUAGGUGCCAAAAGUGAUCGUUGGUUCCUUGCUCCAAGCUUUGUUUUCUUUUCUUUCUUGUUUUCUUCCUUUGCAGUCGUUGUUGUUGUUUUUUUCUUUUCUUUUUUUUUUUUUGAGACAGAGACCUGUUCUGUCUCCCAGGCUGCAGUGCAAUGGCAUGAUCUCAGCUCACUGCAACCUCCGCCUCCUGGGUUUAGGCCAUUCUUCUGCCUCAGCCCCCAGAGUAGCUGGGAUUAUAGGUGCCUGCCACCACAGCCGGCUAAUUUUUUUUUUUUUUUGUAUUUUUUAGUAAAGAUGGAGUUUUGCCAUGUUGGCCAGACUUGAUAUAUCUCUUGAUCUCUCUCCUAUCUAGAAAGACUCUGGGAAAAUUAAGUUCACUUCUAAACAGUUAGUAUUUUUAAUUCUUUUUAAAGUGCCCUGUUUCAAAUCUGCCAAAAUCUAGACAGGUCUCUCCCUGAAAUCAAUACUUUGAUUCAACUAAACACAAUGAACAAAACACUUCAGAGCAACAACAGGAAAAAAUAAACUGAUAAUAGGGUAUCAUUUAUUCCAUGUGCAAACUCAGUCUACGUCCCAGUAUUAUCUAUACAGCCUUCUGUUUUCUGCCUGAGGAAGGGAAAUUUCAGUUUUGCCAGUUGGUCCUGUGCUCUGAUCAACAGUUAUUUGCUUGAUGAUAAUAAUCAGACAAAAGGCAAAAAGGGACCAAACCAAGGUGCAACAAGUGGGAAAGUGGUAUUCUAAACCUAUUCCAUUUUUCUGAGGAAAAGUUUAGGCCUCCACCUACCUCUCAAUCCAUUGGCUUACAUUUUUGCAAGUUCUCAUUUUGCGUCAUUUGUGACUAUUUCUCUUUAAUCUAAUGGGGAAAACCCAGUGGGCAGGCCACCUGGAUCUCUAUACAAAUAAAUUGUAAAUAUUAAAUUGCAUGUGUUAUUUAUUCUCUCUCAUAAAAAAUCAUGUAACUGUCGCAUGGAAAAGUUUGCAGUUAACUUUGAAAUAUCUUACUUAUAUAUCUUACUUGUUUAUAAUGUUAGUAACUUCUGUUUCCAUAUAAAAAGGAAAAUAAUUUUGUGAAUAGUAUCAUGGAAUUUCAACACUUUUGGAGAGAAAGUGAAUAUUCUGUCUCAGUAUUUGAAGACCUCUCCUAAACAUCUCUUUUCUUAAAAAAAAAAAAUUGUUUAGAGACAAGGUCUUGCUCUGUCACCUGGUCUAUAAUGCAGUGAUGUGAUCAUUGUUCACGGUAACCUUGAACUCCUGGGUUCAAGCGGAUCUUCCUGGCUCAGCCUCCAGAAUAACCAGGACUGCAGGUGCGUUCCACGAUUCUGGGCCAUAUUUUACUUUUUUUCUUUCUUUUUUUUUUUUUUUUUUUUUUAAGAGAUGGGGGGGUCUCAUUAUGUCACUCAAGGUGGUCUCUAACCCCUAGCCUCAAGUGAUCCUCCUGCCUCAGCCUCCCAAAACAUUGGGAUUACACACAUGAGGCACCAUGCCCAGCCAAAUGUCCCUUUUCUUCUUUGGCCUUUGGUCUUUCUCCAAAUUGUCAUUUUUGCAAGAAAUGUAAACCUUGAAUUUUUAAGUGAUUCUGAAUUCGGCCACUGGGAUUGAGUUUGAAGAUUUCUGUCCAUCAGAACUCUGCUCCUUCUCAUCCCAAAUGCUCCUGCUAUUUCCCCUGCUUUUCUUCUUUCCCUCACUUCCUUUUUAGACUCAGCACAUGGUGGUUGUUGAAGUCCAAUGAGCAUAUUAGUUAGCCACAGGAAAAUGUGCAGAAGACAGCAGAGGAAAAACUGGUGUCAUAGCAUUUAUGAAGAAUAAGAGUUUACUAACGGAGAUGAAGAAGAAAAAAAUUUAACAGUGAGAGAAAAAUAAAACUGGAAAGAAUGUCAGUUAGUGAAAGAGAUCAUUAGAGAAGUGGUGAAAGUUAAGAUUUGUGAGGUAGAUGGUAUCAGAUCUUGGAUGCCCAUUACUGUCAGGCUGAGGUGUUUGGCAUUAACUGUGUAGAUCAUAGAUUCCAACUGAACUUUUUUGAGCAGGAAGUGAGUAGAUGAAAAAGAAGAACAAAGCUUUGUUUUAGAGAAGUGGAUCUGGAAUAUAUUUAUAUCAUGGAUUCUAUGCAUGUAGCCUUUGUCAUACAGCUGUAACUUAUGUUUAAAAGUCUCAAUUGGGUGUGUGUGUGUGUGUAAGUUAACUUUAAUCUGUAUUUUAAUGGCUGUUGCUUAAUUUGAAUAACUUUAAUUAGGAAUACAUACUUCAGAGAUGAUUGGUUAGUUUAGCCAGAUUUAGCCAAAUGCCAUAUUUCACUCAAAUGUGUUCCAUGAUCUUUAGUUCUUGUGAGUUUAACUAAUACAGGAGAUGUUAGAAAUGAUUUUUCAUUGGUGAUGUUAUUCAAAGUAUCUUGAUUUGGUUAGCAUGUUGGACCUUUCAGAGUAACAUCCUAGGCCCAAAACUCUUGAAUCAGCCCUUCAUUCAGACAUGGAAUAAAUAAUUAUGUAACUAUAUUCGAACCAGAUGAACAGCUGAGUUCUUCUACUAGAAGACUGUCAUUUAUGCCUUGAGACGCAAGAUUCUCACUAGAAUCCCCAAAAUGAUAACAAAUUGGACUCUACUGAACUUGUAAGAAAAGGUGAUAUGACUGUUUUUGUCACUGUUUCCUAAUAAAUAUUUGCAUGUGUAUUAGUAUUCUGAAAUUCAUAUUUAUCUUAUUUACUAUCUGGUAGUGGCAUUGUAAGAAACAAAAAACUUAAUGGCUUUCACCUAACUAGUUAUUGGAGGCUAAUGGUAUUUAUUAAACAAAUAAAAAACUAGUAAUUGUGAAUGUCAAAACUGGUUUGGGCCAGCAUACAAUAGACUGAAGAUAUAAAACAAAUUUUCAAAACACAUUAAUAGUGUCUCUGUGAAGUAGAUGGUCUGGACUAGGUUAUAUGCGAGAAUAUAAAUAUUUGACAAAGGUCGAACUCAAAGUCAUAUGAACUUUAGGCAAAAUAACUUUUCUCUGAGAUGUAAUUAAACUUUUCUAUUUAAAAAAUGAAUUUAAUCCAAGAACAUCAAACAAGAACAUUAUUAUAAAAUGUAAAACAUACAUGUUUUAAAGUACUAUUUAGUAACUUUAAUUAAACUAAUAAAAAUUAGAAAGGAAGUAGAACUUCAA